UUGCUUGAUUUUGCUUCUUCCUUAUACGAACAAGGAAAGGAAAAAAUAAAAAUAAAAACUCCUUCCCCCACUCUGUCGAACAAACCACGCUCCACCACUUCUCUUUCCCCAAAAUUCCGUAAGCUUCCUCUGGAUUUGCUCUGAAAUUGAAGGCCGGUGUUAGGUUCAGUCAUAUAUCCAACUUUCCCCCAAAUGUCCUAAUUUUCCAGUCCAUCUCACGGGAAGAAUCUCAUGGUUUCUGGUUUUGUGAAGAUUGGGUUGUGGAAAGAAGAUCGAAGAUGAUCUCCACGUGAAGCUCUCUUCCUAUGCGAAGCUCAGAGCUAGGUUUACCGGCCAAGGAGUUUGUUGAAGCUAUUAUCAGUAUACGAGCUGGCUCGAAGAUUAAUCUUAUAGAGUUAAAGGGUCUUGAUCAACAAAGGCAAAAGCUUUUAGUGACUCACAUCCGAGACAAAGCGAGUGAACUAUCUUCUUGUUUAAUGCUCGUGGCUCUUUGUGAGGUGGUAAUGCUGAUUAUGCAAUGG
This is a long non-coding RNA of Morus notabilis, 521 nucleotides long. RefSeq lists it as uncharacterized. NCBI's taxonomy places the organism in Eukaryota, Viridiplantae, Streptophyta, Magnoliopsida, Rosales, Moraceae. The transcript has 4 exons. The record is from RefSeq and is a predicted model, not a curated record.